This 253-nucleotide ribosomal RNA is filed under the name uncultured bacterium. RNAcentral describes it as "partial 16S ribosomal RNA". It matches the Rfam family "Bacterial small subunit ribosomal RNA", at positions 524 to 776 of the family's 1533-position model. The record is from RNAcentral.
UACGUAGGGGGCAAGCGUUGUCCGGAAUCAUUGGGCGUAAAGCGCGUGUAGGCGGCCCGGUAAGUCCGCUGUGAAAGUCGGGGGCUCAACCCUCGAAUGCCGGUGGAUACUGUCGGGCUUGAGUACGGAAGAGGCGAGUGGAAUUCCUGGUGUAGCGGUGAAAUGCGCAGAUAUCAGGAGGAACACCAAUUGCGAAGGCAGCUCGCUGGGACGUUACUGACGCUGAGACGCGAAAGCGUGGGGAGCAAACAGG